AACGAACGCUGGCGGCAUGCCUAACACAUGCAAGUCGAACGAGACCUUCGGGUCUAGUGGCGCACGGGUGCGUAACGCGUGGGAACCUGCCCUUAGGUUCGGAAUAACUCCCCGAAAGGGGUGCUAAUACCGGAUAAUGUCUUCGGACCAAAGAUUUAUCUCCUUUGGAUGGGCCCGCGUUGGAUUAGCUAGUUGGUAGGGUAAAAGCCUACCAAGGCGACGAUCCAUAGCUGGUCUGAGAGGAUGAUCAGCCACACUGGGACUGAGACACGGCCCAGACUCCUACGGGAGGCAGCAGUGGGGAAUAUUGGACAAUGGGCGAAAGCCUGAUCCAGCAAUGCCGCGUGAGUGAUGAAGGCCUUAGGGUUGUAAAGCUCUUUUACCCGGGAUGAUAAUGACAGUACCGGGAGAAUAAGCUCCGGCUAACUCCGUG
RNAcentral lists this ribosomal RNA (433 nucleotides) under uncultured bacterium. RNAcentral's name for it is "partial 16S ribosomal RNA". It matches the Rfam family "Bacterial small subunit ribosomal RNA", at positions 29 to 507 of the family's 1533-position model. The record is from RNAcentral.